AUUGAACGCUGGCGGCAGGCCUAACACAUGCAAGUCGAACGAGGGGCAGACGGGUGAAUAAUGUCUGGGAAACUGCCCGGUGGAGGGGGAUAACUACUGGAAAAGGUAGCUAAUACCGCAUACCAUCGGAUGUGCCCAGAUGGGAUGAGCUAGGAGGUGGGGUAACGGCUCACCUAGGCGACGAUCCCUAGCUGGUCUGAGAGGAUGACCAGCCACACUGGAACUGAGACACGGUCCAGACUCCUACGGGAGGCAGCAGUGGGGAAUAUUGCACAAUGGGCGCAAGCCUGAUGCAGCCAUGCCGCGUGUAUGAAGAAGGCCUUCGGGUUGUAAAGUACUUUCAGCGGGGAGGCGUUACCCGCAGAAGAAGCACCGGCUAACUCCGUGCCAGCAGCCGCGGUAAUUC
This 406-nucleotide ribosomal RNA is filed under the name uncultured bacterium. RNAcentral's name for it is "partial 16S ribosomal RNA". It matches the Rfam family "Bacterial small subunit ribosomal RNA", at positions 30 to 526 of the family's 1533-position model. The record is from RNAcentral.